ACUCUCCUGCUUCUGUUGCUUGCUUCUUUUGCUUGUAUCGAUGAUUCUGGAACCAUAUUUUGACUUGUGUUGGCGUCAAGUUGAUCAUCCGUCCCAGUUGUUCCCUUUCUGGGGCUGAUAAGUAGCGCUGAUAUCUAAAUCGUCUUUCCAGUUCGUAGAUUUGGUGUUUGGUGAAGAGUACCCGUCGCUUUCUUUUCUUUGGAACAUCGCUAGACUCAUCUCUGUUGAUUUUUGGAGCUUGCUGUAGCACGUCGUUCCCUGCACAGUCUUCGUUCAUCUCAGGAUGUGGUCGAGGACCUAAUCGAACGAAAGCGGGUAAAGGCGUUUGAUGAGAUUCGAUAACACCGAUUAAGAGGUGAUUUGGUUUUAAACUACCAGCGAGGCGGAGCCGAAGUCAAUGACUCUUAUGUUAUACAAGUUUCUACUCUUUACUUAGAAAAGCUAUCGAAAGCAGCGUGAACCGAAGAGAUGACGCUCACUUACAAAGAUGACAUUUCAUGUCCUUGGUCACGAAAAUCGAAUAACAAUCUGGUGCGAGAUUCACCAUAACCUGACAGGUAAGUAAGCGCUUGUCUGUGUCAUCUGCGCUCAAAACAGACAAAUCUCAGAGGAAAUUUGUGGCAUGGAAAACAGAAUUUAGACUCAAACCCUGUACCUACCCGAAGUGUUGUCUUGGCUUUGCGGACCGGAUGGAGGCAUCGUCGUUAUUAUGCAAUUAGAUCCUGUAGAACGAUCGGGGGAGAGAUUAACACCUUGGCAAAUGUUAGGAACCCGUGGAGAAGCGUUGGAGCAGCUUUGAAGACACGAUUCCGGCAAGCUGAGGAUGUUCUUCACGGAAAAAGAAGACAUAACGCGAGCCCUGACGGACGCUACUCAAGAUGGCUGCUGGCCUAUUGACUGUACACAGAUCAAAGAGUCACAAGGACAGCUCUUUGGCGUCAUCUACUAUCGUUUUUGACAAGUGGGCAGAAUUGCGAUGACUUUGAUUUUGUCAGCGAUAGCAAAUAUCACGGAAUCAUUUCCCACGUCUUCAAGUCUUUUUUCUUCAAACCAGAACCUCGUUCAAGCUCGGUGAUCUCUCCAUAAGCUUGAGAUAAAAUCUCAGUGCAGAAAAGAACGGUUAAAUGAGAAUUUACGCCAGGGUGUUCUUCUGCUGUGGAGCUUAUGGAAUGAAAUAUGAAGUCCAUGGACAACAAUAUAUGGAACGCGUGGCAUUGGACAAGCGCAGUUGUCAACACGGAGUCAUUUAUGCCCGGUUCAGAUGAAAAACACACACUUGGGCUGUCAAACCAGUUUUAUGAACUGGGGGAAAACUAAUUAAACUUCAUGCAAACUGACCGCCAGUUUCAUUCAUGGAAAAUGAUGACACUUGACAUGCGAUUUUGUCUGCAGAGAACAAAGGUUCCAACAUUGCUUUUAUGAGCUCUCAGAUUCUUGAAGUAUUGAGACAUCAAUGUUGUGAGAAAUGCCAUUUACCUAACGUUCUAAUUUGUUCUAAUGUGCUUCCGACAGACAGACAAAAAGAAGAACGUGUUAUUGAAUAGCAAGGCUGGAUGUUCAGUUCCAUUGUGAACAGCUCCCAUGUUCUCAUAAGAAUUCUGCUACCAAAAGCAAACAAGGAAACAGAAAACUUCAUAAAGAUAUUUCAAGCGCGCCAUAAAAUACUCGCGGUAUUAUAAACAGAUAACGUGAACGCUUAAGACACUUUCUAUUUCAUAGAUAAAGCGGGGUACCAAAAGGAUAAACUUGUCAAAGGAAAUGAAUCUGUGGGUGAAAAUGUGUUCAGAGCAAAUAAAA
Molecule: long non-coding RNA, 1797 nt
Organism: Pocillopora verrucosa
Lineage: Eukaryota; Metazoa; Cnidaria; Anthozoa; Scleractinia; Pocilloporidae
Source: RefSeq, a predicted model, not a curated record